GACGAACGCUGGCGGCGUGGAUUAGGCAUGCAAGUCGAACGGUAUCAUCCUUUCGGGGGUGAGAGAGUGGCGAACUGGUGAGUAAACACGUAGGUUAUCUACCCUCAAGACGGGGACAACCCAGGGAAACUUGGGCUAAUACCGGAUGUGAGCAACUUUUAGUUGUUUGAAAGGUGGCGUAAGCUGUCGCUUGGGGAUGAGCCUGCGUCCUAUUAGUUAGUUGGUGAGGUAACGGCUCACCUAGGCAAUGAUAGGUAGGCGGCCUUAACGGGUGGUCGCCCACACUGGGAUUGAGAUACGGCCCAGACUCCUACGGGAGGCAGCAGUCGAGAAUAGUCUACAAUGGUCGGAAGACUGAUAGUGCGACGCCGCGUGAACGAUGAAUCCCUUCGGGGUGUAAAGUUCUUUUAUAUGUGAGCAGUGCUUCUUAUAUUAACAGUAUGGGGAGAGAGAUAUUAGCAUAUGAAUAAGCAACGGCUAACUCCGUGCCAGCAGCCGCGGUAA
RNAcentral lists this ribosomal RNA (504 nucleotides) under uncultured bacterium. RNAcentral's name for it is "bacterial SSU rRNA". It matches the Rfam family "Bacterial small subunit ribosomal RNA", at positions 28 to 523 of the family's 1533-position model. The record is from RNAcentral.